RNAcentral lists this ribosomal RNA (449 nucleotides) under uncultured bacterium. Its description in RNAcentral is "bacterial SSU rRNA". It matches the Rfam family "Bacterial small subunit ribosomal RNA", at positions 43 to 524 of the family's 1533-position model. The record is from RNAcentral.
CAGGCCUAACACAUGCAAGUCGAGCGGCAGCGCACCCUUCGGGGUGGCGGCGAGCGGCGGACGGCUGAGUAACACGUGGGAAUGUACCCCAAAGUGAGGAAUAACUGCCCGAAAGGGUAGCUAAUGCCGCAUAUGAUCUUCGGAUUAAAGGCUUCGGCCGCUUUGGGAACAGCCCGCGUACGAUUAGAUAGUUGGUGAGGUAAUGGCUCACCAAGUCGACGAUCGUUAGUUGGUCUGAGAGGAUGACCAGCCAGACUGGAACUGAGACACGGUCCAGACUCCUACGGGAGGCAGCAGUGAGGAAUCUUCCACAAUGGGCGAAAGCCUGAUGGAGCAACGCCGCGUGCAGGAUGAAGGCCUUCGGGUUGUAAACUGCUUUUAUGAGUGAAGAAUAUGACGGUAACUCAUGAAUAAGGGUCGGCUAACUACGUGCCAGCAGCCGCGGUAAU